GUGAAGGAACUAGGCAAAAUAGUACCGUAACUUCGGGAGAAGGUACGCCAGAGCUUGUGACGAG
Molecule: ribosomal RNA, 64 nt
Filed under: Pseudidiomarina aestuarii
Lineage: Bacteria; Pseudomonadati; Pseudomonadota; Gammaproteobacteria; Alteromonadales; Idiomarinaceae
Description: Idiomarina aestuarii partial 23S ribosomal RNA
Source: RNAcentral